RNAcentral lists this ribosomal RNA (466 nucleotides) under uncultured bacterium. RNAcentral describes it as "partial 16S ribosomal RNA". It matches the Rfam family "Bacterial small subunit ribosomal RNA", at positions 28 to 507 of the family's 1533-position model. The record is from RNAcentral.
GAUGAACGCUGGCGGCGUGCUUAACACAUGCAAGUCGAACGAUGAAGCCCAGCUUUCUGGGUGGUUUAGUGGCGAACGGGUGAGUAACACGUGAGUAACCUGCCCUUAACUCUGGGAUAAGCCUGUUAAACUGGGUCUAAUACCGGAUAGGAGCGUCCACCGCAUGGUGGGUGUUGGAGAGAUUUAUCGGUUUUGGAUGGACUCGCGGCCUAUCAGCUUGUUGGUGAGGUAAUGGCUCACCAAGGCGACGACGGGUAGCCGGCCUGAGAGGGUGACCGGCCACCAGGGGACUAAGAGACGGACCAGACGCCAACGGGCGGCAGCGGUGGGGAAUAUUGCACAAUGGGCGCAAGCCUGAUGCAGCGACGCCGCGUGAGGAAUGACGGCCUUCGGGUUGUAAACCUCUUUCAGUAGGGAAGAAGCGAAAGUGACGGUACCUGAAGAAGAAGCACCGGCUAACUACGUG